Long non-coding RNA from Ctenocephalides felis (cat flea), 673 nucleotides. RefSeq lists it as uncharacterized. The record is from RefSeq and is a predicted model, not a curated record. The transcript has 6 exons. Lineage: Eukaryota; Metazoa; Arthropoda; Insecta; Siphonaptera; Pulicidae.
GUCAUUGCUAGAGUUCAUUUUCAUCGUGGCGAUUGCUGGAAGAACACAACGAGACGUCGUCGAACACGGACGAGCGGGCCUGACCCUUUGCUGCCUGUGGAGAACAUGCGUCACCUGGUGCGGAUAAAAUCAUAUGGAGGCCACAAAAUAUUAUAUCAAGCAAAUUGUUGAGUAUCGAAUGGCCAAAUAUCGAGUGAAAAUUGAACACUGACUCACUUCACCGGGAAUCGCUCUGAAAAUAAUUUAAAAAGUCCUUGCAACUAGUGGUGCUCUGCACUCACACUACUUCACCAGGAAUCUUUCCAGAAACAUUUUACCAGAUCUUCUCAAUCCAACUAUUACUGCCCUGAAGCUAUUACAUGUGAAUGACUCGCAAGUGUUUUUUUUUAAUAACUGCCUAUAAUUAUGCAUGAUUAACUUAACUCUUAUUAACUCAAUAACAUGACUAACCUCACUAACUUAAUCAGUUAUUAUAAAUACCACUUGUUGAGUUUUACUAUGAAGGUUUUACUGAGAUUGCUUGGAAGACGGGGCUGAAUGAUUAAUCAGGGUAAACGACAACUACAAGCCAAGUGGUGAACUCUCAAGUUGCUCAUGAGUGAAAACAAUAAUUUCAUCUACUAAUUAUGCUGUCCGUCCGUCCGUCCGUCUUGUCACCAGAGAAGAUGCCUAC